Molecule: ribosomal RNA, 253 nt
Filed under: uncultured bacterium
Lineage: Bacteria
Description: partial 16S ribosomal RNA
Rfam family: Bacterial small subunit ribosomal RNA
Source: RNAcentral
UACGAAGGGGGCUAGCGUUGCUCGGAAUCACUGGGCGUAAAGGGUGCGUAGGCGGGUUUUUAAGUCAGGGGUGAAAUCCUGGAGCUCAACUCCAGAACUGCCUUUGAUACUGAGAAGCUUGAGUCCGGGAGAGGUGAGUGGAACUGCGAGUGUAGAGGUGAAAUUCGUAGAUAUUCGCAAGAACACCAGUGGCGAAGGCGGCUCACUGGCCCGGUACUGACGCUGAGGCACGAAAGCGUGGGGAGCAAACAGG